AAUACGUUCCCGGGCCUUGUACACACCGCCCGUCACAUCACGAAAGUGGGUUGUACUAGAAGUCCUCUCGAAAGGCCCAAGGUAUGACUCAUGAUUGGGGUG
This 102-nucleotide ribosomal RNA is filed under the name uncultured bacterium. RNAcentral describes it as "partial 16S ribosomal RNA". It matches the Rfam family "Bacterial small subunit ribosomal RNA", at positions 1365 to 1482 of the family's 1533-position model. The record is from RNAcentral.